Molecule: ribosomal RNA, 253 nt
Filed under: uncultured bacterium
Lineage: Bacteria
Description: partial 16S ribosomal RNA
Rfam family: Bacterial small subunit ribosomal RNA
Source: RNAcentral
UACGUAGGGUGCAAGCGUUGUCCGGAAUUAUUGGGCGUAAAGAGCUCGUAGGCGGUCUGUCGCGUCGGAUGUGAAAAUCCAGGGCUCAACCCUGGACCUGCAUUCGAUACGGGCAGACUAGAGUUCGGUAGGGGAGACUGGAAUUCCUGGUGUAGCGGUGAAAUGCGCAGAUAUCAGGAGGAACACCGGUGGCGAAGGCGGCCUUCUGGACAAUGACUGACGCUGAGACGCGAAAGCGUGGGGAGCAAACAGG